UUAGGAAUAUUGGACAAUGGGCGAAAGCCUGAUCCAGCCAUGCCGCGUGUGUGAUGAAGGCCCUAGGGUUGUAAAGCACUUUCGUUGGGGAUGAUAAUGACCGUACCCAAAGAAGAAGCACCGGCUAACUUCGUGCCAGCAGCCGCGGUAAUACGAAGGGUGCAAGCGUUGUUAGGAAUCACUGGGCGGAAAGAAUGCGUAGGCGGCUUAACAAGUCGAGAGUGAAAUCCCAGGGCUCAACCCUGGAACUGCUUUCGAAACUGUUUUGCUAGAGUCCCGGAGGGGUUAGCGGAAGUCCGAGUGUAGAGGUGAAAUUCGCAGAUAUUCGGAGGAACACCAGUGGCGAAGGCGGCUAACUGGACGGGAACUGACGCUGAGGCAGGAAAGUGUGGGGAUCAAACA
Molecule: ribosomal RNA, 402 nt
Filed under: uncultured prokaryote
Description: bacterial SSU rRNA
Rfam family: Bacterial small subunit ribosomal RNA
Source: RNAcentral